Long non-coding RNA from Tribolium castaneum (red flour beetle), 787 nucleotides. RefSeq lists it as uncharacterized. The record is from RefSeq and is a predicted model, not a curated record. The transcript has 2 exons. NCBI's taxonomy places the organism in Eukaryota, Metazoa, Arthropoda, Insecta, Coleoptera, Tenebrionidae.
AACUUUUGCUGGCCUGAGAGGUGUCGCGUGUAACUGUCAAAAAUGACUGGUUUAUGGUAAGUUUGGAGUCGUCCAUGGCCGGAAGUCGUCGCCUGAACCGGCGCCCAUUUGCCCCUCGAAACAAUACAAGUGACCAUCAGAGGGCCCUUGCAGAAUUUAUCGCUUCCUUGCGUGUCAAAACAACAAAAAUAGUCAUCUCGCUUUAAAGCAUCAUCGCUAAAUGAAACGUUGUUGCCUAUUCUCCAGUCCCAUCAUCAUUAACAUUAUAUUGAGCAACAAAAAGCGAAAUAAGAUUAAUGGAGGUAGAGUUUUUAUUGUGCCGUUUAUAUCAGAAACGUAAUGUUUUUAAUAUCUAAAUCGAUUGAACGCUAAUGGCAGGAAGAAAGAAAAAGCGGUACUUUAACUUCAGUUUUGUGUGGAUUUGUGAUUAACAAGCUUUGGAUAAUUGGCCACACUGACUACCGGAAGAAAAAUUUCAAUUAACACGCUGUUUGGAGGAAUUAUUAAUUGCGCUACAAACAUUCCGAAUAUUUAACAAUUUGUUAGUGGGCACACAACUCCACCUAGAUCACCAAUUCGAGCGGAAACUGAAAACUCAAACACUAGCAGAAUUUUUACGUUGCAGCAAUAAAACAAUAUCAAUAAAGCGAAUAUUUAUGUUAACAGUAAGCCCAUUUGACGUAAAAUUAUCCAAGAAUUCCAAACCUGUCUCCAUUUUUGUCCUUCGAUGCCUAGCUUUGGAGAUAUUGGACAAAAUAUGAAUAAAAAGCCCAUUUUACUAGUUAAA